RNAcentral lists this long non-coding RNA (1571 nucleotides) under Anas platyrhynchos platyrhynchos (common mallard). RNAcentral's name for it is "lncRNA (ENSAPLG00000022565.1)". The record is from RNAcentral. Lineage: Eukaryota; Metazoa; Chordata; Aves; Anseriformes; Anatidae.
CAGACAAGGUGCUCUCCCUGUUUACAUCUGCUAAGAAAAUGUCACAAUUCUUGGUGCAGCUCACUUCUGGCAAGCAGCUACCACAAACCUGGGCACCCGUUUAAGCUCUCCCAUACAUUUGUGUACUGUCUCCCUGUCCCAAAGAGAGUUUCAUCCCCUGAAUCCACCUCCCAGGAUGCUGUGGGAAUUUGCCAUUGUGUGGCAGCCACACUCUUUCAAUUAAACAGAAAAUAUCAAGUGAGCUUAACUUGUGGACAGCAUUGACAUUAGCUUAAACUUGGCUUAUAUUUUGCAAAGCAAGGCAACAGUCAGACCCCUCCAGAGAGACCCCAUGAGCACAUUGCCUCUGUAUGUGACCAGCACCAGCCGUGUCAGAGGCUAAGCCCCUCAUGUCUUCAGACAAAGCCAUCUGUGCCAGCACCCCUAUCUGCUUCAGAAGAAAUCAGCAGUUGAGCUCAGGUGACCUCAGUUUAAUCAGCUGAAGCCACAUCAGCUGAAGUUACCUGUAGCAGCACAGGCAAGGCUACAUAAACAGCCUCACCGCAGCCCUGAGGUUGCUGCCUCUAGCAGGGUGCUGCUGGGGAGGUGCAGAGCAAGGAAGUUUUCCAAUGGGUGACAAGCACAGACUACGCCAUUUAUGUGAACACAUUAAUCUCCGGAACUUUCAAGAUGUAAAGGAACAUUUGGCAGCUGGGAACCAGGGAGAUGAAGGCAGAGAUUUUGUAACCGAAAGCAGUGUGCCACUUUAAUAUCAAACCCAGAAUAUUUCAUGGGAAAGAUGGAAAUGGAGCUUCCAGUCGGGAAAAGUCGAGGUGAAGCAGGGCAGUUUCCACUGAGAAGCAGCACCAAAUAUCCCUCUCUUCACCUCCCUGUGACACACCUUGGCUGUCUCCAGGGAGCCUGUCCUCUCCCCAGCACCCUGCAGCAUCUGGGGAACAGACGUGGCAGCAGCUCAAGCUCCAAAAUCUUGAAGAGAAAUGAGAAGAUGGAGCUAGGAUUUCAUCUCAGAAAGGAAAGGUGUGAUCCUACAGGUCUCCCUGCAGGGCUCAGCAGGUGGGAAGGCAGCACAGUCUCUCUGUAGCGAGCAGAGCUGUGGUUUAUCCUCUUUCCCUGCAGAGGGAGGUGCUGGUCCCCCUCCCUCUCCUUCCAGCCCGUCCUCCUCAGUAGCACACUGUAACCCAUGACCCCUCGCAUAAAAGAGGGGAAUACUAAUUGCUUGGAAACACUCCACAGAAAGUGGACGUUAAGUGGACUAGUGCCGACCAGCAAUGGAAAUUACAGCACGGACACCACCAGAAUCCAUCACAACUAAUGCGAUUAGAGCGGAUGGCACAGGAAUUCAUAAUGAUCUGCUCUGUGCCCUGAAGUUGUGUCAGUGUAUCCGAGCUGGGCUUUGCUCUUCUCCUGCCCUCUACUUGCACACUUUGAAGAGUACAGACAAGGGAGGCCCCCCCAGGAGACUUUCAUCCCACCCUGUACCUCUCUCAUAGCACCCUUGUUCCUAAUUGUAUGCAGAGACAACAGCAAUGGCAAUGACUUCAUAACAAGCCCUCCUAAUGAAUAAAUCAUCC